GAAAUCUGGUUUGGGAGACAAAGAAUCACUCAGAGCUACAAGAAACAACGUUUCCAUUGAUUGCACAGGAAUGUGUUUGAGGCUUCAGCUUACACUGGGCUUUUGCAGCAGCUGCCUUAGGACAACAUCAGCACCUGCCCGCCUCAGAUUCUUCUACAAACUCACUGGGCCUUGGAAACUGUCCUAGCUAAAGAUGGAGGCAAAGUCAGUCAUUCGGGAAGAUUAUUAUAUUACCAGUAAAGAGAGUUCAUUUUGGGAAGUAUUUUGGGCAGAUGCUUUCCUUUCUAAAGCCAGAGGUAUGCACCAAAUAAAAACAUGCCAUAACGUUCGUCUCUUGCACAAAUAAAGUUGAGCCCACAAUUCAA
Long non-coding RNA from Tympanuchus pallidicinctus (lesser prairie-chicken), 365 nucleotides. RefSeq lists it as uncharacterized. The transcript has 2 exons. The record is from RefSeq and is a predicted model, not a curated record. Lineage: Eukaryota; Metazoa; Chordata; Aves; Galliformes; Phasianidae.